AUGCAUCAAAUUCCACAUAGGCAACAGGAUCCUGUGUUGCUGGAGCACGCGCGGGCACAGGACACCUCAGUAGAUACCAUGGAUGAGCGGGCAUUACAACAAGCAACAACUUGCCUACAAACUGGAGGCGAAAGCAGCGAUGAUAGCUGGGAAUGGGAUUCAGCGAGAUGGAAGCAAGCUACUCCGCCACUUGGGUUGUGCGUGAGAGACCAGCAAACUUCAACAGAGAAGCUGACAUGGACCUGUUGCACAGUUCGAUCUAGCUCACAUGGCAACGCUCGGGCUUUCUUCUCCAACUCGAAUUCCUAA
Molecule: ribosomal RNA, 309 nt
Filed under: Triticum aestivum (bread wheat)
Lineage: Eukaryota; Viridiplantae; Streptophyta; Magnoliopsida; Poales; Poaceae
Description: partial small subunit ribosomal RNA
Source: RNAcentral